This 249-nucleotide unclassified non-coding RNA is filed under the name uncultured fungus. RNAcentral's name for it is "partial contains 5.8S ribosomal RNA, internal transcribed spacer 2, and large subunit ribosomal RNA". The stretch from base 1 to 52 matches the Rfam family "5.8S ribosomal RNA", at positions 103 to 154 of the family's 154-position model. The record is from RNAcentral. Lineage: Eukaryota; Fungi.
AACGCACAUUGCGCCCCUCGGUAUUCCGAGGGGCAUGCCUGUUCGAGCGUCAUUACAACCCUCAAGCUCUGCUUGGUGUUGGGCACCGCCCUUCCGCGGGCGCGCCUCAAAGACCUCGGCGGUGGCGUCUUGCCUCGAGCGUAGUAGAAAACACCUCGCUUUGGAGCGCACGGCGCCGCCCGCCGGACGAACCUUUUGAACUUUCUCAAGGUUGACCUCGGAUCAGGUAGGGAUACCCGCUGAACUUAA